This 125-nucleotide ribosomal RNA is filed under the name Valsaceae sp. RNAcentral's name for it is "partial small subunit ribosomal RNA". It matches the Rfam family "Eukaryotic small subunit ribosomal RNA", at positions 1657 to 1779 of the family's 1831-position model. Lineage: Eukaryota; Fungi; Ascomycota; Sordariomycetes; Diaporthales; Cytosporaceae. The record is from RNAcentral.
CCUUUGUACACACCGCCCGUCGCUACUACCGAUUGAAUGGUUCAGUGAGGCGUCCGGACUGGCCCCAGGAGGUCGGCAACGACCACCCAGGGCCGGAAAGCUCUCCAAACUCGAUCAUUUAGAGG